RNAcentral lists this ribosomal RNA (483 nucleotides) under uncultured bacterium. RNAcentral's name for it is "partial 16S ribosomal RNA". It matches the Rfam family "Bacterial small subunit ribosomal RNA", at positions 28 to 507 of the family's 1533-position model. The record is from RNAcentral.
GACGAACGCUGGCGGCGUGCUUAACACAUGCAAGUCGAACGCUGAAGCUCAGCUUUUGUUGGGUGGAUGAGUGGCGAACGGGUGAGUAACACGUGAGUAACCUGCCCCCUUCUUUGGGAUAACGCCCGGAAACGGGUGCUAAUACUGGAUAUUCACUGGUCUUCGCAUGGGGGUUGGUGGAAAGGGUUUUUCUGGUGGGGGAUGGGCUCGCGGCCUAUCAGCUUGUUGGUGGGGUGAUGGCCUACCAAGGCUUUGACGGGUAGCCGGACUGAGAGGGUGACCGGUCACAUUGGGACUGAGAUACGGCCCAGACUCCUACGGGAGGCAGCAGUGGGGAAUAUUGCACAAUGGGCGCAAGCCUGAUGCAGCGACGCCGCGUGAGGGAUGGAGGCCUUCGGGUUGUGAACCUCUUUCGCUCAUGGUCAAGCCGCAACAAUGGUUGUGGUGAAGGUAGUGGGUAAAGAAGCGCCGGCUAACUACGUG